CAGGGGCAUGAAGGGGAUGUGCUUCCAGGGCAUUUGCUGGCAGGGUGUCUCGUGAUCUCUUGGUAUUGGUGUGAGCACAGCCUGGCAGGAGAGGGCAGAUCUCAGUGCAAAGUAUCAUGUCAAAAAGCAGAUCGAAGCCAGGCCCCCUCCUGGAAGAGGCUCCUUGAAGAUAAUUCUAACAUCUUUGUCAUCAGUGUUGACAUCUCUUGAUUGUAUCCUGUCAUUCCAUUUGAGAUCAUCCUGGUUCUGGCUGGCAUCCUCUGACAUCACUCCAGCAGAAGAAAGGGAAGGAUCAUGCCGCAUUACUGCCUGGUCACAAGGUCCCUAUCUGAUCUGCCUUCACUCCACCUUUCAGAGUCUUAUGUUUGUUUUGUAUAUAUUAUCAAGGGGUUUUAGGUCACUUAGUUGGAAGAAUAGGGAAAAGUAUAUCUACUCUAGUUUUGUGGAAGUGGAAUUCUUCUGAGAACCUCUUUUUUGAUACAAAAUAUGUACUUGUGCAUAUUUUGUAUCAAAAUAUAUAAUGUACAUGUCCAUUUUGUACAUGUAUAUAAAUUGUAUAUAAGUAUUUAGGGUUAUAAAAAUAACCAAAGACACCAAAAACUGCCACAGGUGGAUUUGAGAAGACGUUGAAAUGCCUCCCCUGCUAAGACACGCUCCUCCUUGACAGAGUGGGAACCCUGAAAGCUGUAGUGUCACCACUGCCCUAUCCUGUACCUACCUAUCUUUUGACUCAUUUCCUCCAAGCUCAGGUUUUCAGUUUUGGGUGUGUGCCACCUAAAACUGAGCUGUGGAACUGCAGCACAAUCAUCAAAUUCAAAAAAGGCAAGGACAUCUUGCUCAGAUUUUAAGAUACACCAUAGAUGGAGUAAACUAAAACCUUUGAUUCCAGAUCCUUAACCCCAAUUAAAAACAACACAACCCUUCAUGCCUAUUUAAAACGUCCCUUGCAAAAGAUGGUUUGAAUAUUCCAAGUUGGAAAUACCCAGUCUUUUUAAGUUACAGCACCCUUUUUGAUACAAAAAAUGGGCAUGACAGAAAUUGUAUAGUGAGUAGUGUUAUAAAAAUAACCAAACACACCAAAAA
Molecule: long non-coding RNA, 1083 nt
Organism: Mandrillus leucophaeus (drill)
Lineage: Eukaryota; Metazoa; Chordata; Mammalia; Primates; Cercopithecidae
Exons: 4
Source: RefSeq, a predicted model, not a curated record